AGUACCCCGCGUGCUUUUCCGGUUAGCAGAUAUGGCUCAAGGAUCUCAGAAGUUUAAAGCUCAGCGGCCUGGAGGCUCUAAAAAACAUCAACAUAACAAACAGAAAGGACCAAAGAAAGGGGGGAGGAUCAUUGCACCCAAGAAGGCUCAAGUUGUUCAGCAACAGAAGCUGAAGAAGGGCCUGGAGGUUGCCAUCAGGAACAGGAUUGAACAGGAGGUGACCCAGAAGGCAAGCUCAUCCCUCCACAAGCCACUGAGUGUAGUAAAAGGGCCGGAGGGUAAAGACAAACAAGGAUCAGCCCGACCAGGAACCAGCUCUAAAUAGCAACUCAUACACAACCGCGCAAGUGCCGAAGGAGCGCAGGAACCUGGGGAAGGAGUCUUUGGCCAUCAAAGUGUAGAUUCUCUGCUGCGCCAUGUUAAAUGUGUCAACAUGCAGAGAGUCCAUCACACUCAGCAGAGCCUCCCGGGUCUCAGCAUCCAAGUUUACCUGGAAAGGAAACCAGUGUCAACACAUAUGAGUGUGAGGGAGAAACUCUGUAGUCCUCACAGGCCAACCAAAACUCCAGGUUCUCCUCACUGAACUCCGAACGAAGGAACCCACGAAACAACUGCAGACCACCUGCCAGAAAGAUGAUCAAAGAGGAAGAAAGAAGAACAAAUCAGAGGUGUGGUACAGGAAAAGACAAACUCAAUGUCACAGUGAAAAAGAAAGUUACAAGAAACAUAUUCAUCACAUGCCACUUCUUCCAUGGGGAACUGUAAAAUAAAAUAUCUAUGGAAAUACACACCAUUAAAUAUAUUUGGUAUCCCAUUGGGAUUCAGGCACAAAAUUAAUGGUGUGAAUUUAGCUUUAAGCCAGUUAACAAGGAAGUGGGUUUUUCAUGCAAUUGAAUAUAUAUAUUAGAAUUACACUAAAGCUAAUAAGUUGCAGUGGCUUGUAUGCUGUGAAAUGAUCACAAGAAUAAAAAAGUGACCUAGGUUUUUGAGUUGGAAAAGUGCUACAGAAGUCCUCUUAAAUAACCAUAAAACUGCUGUUUAGUCCAGAUCAAACUGGUCUAAUAUUCAACAGCACACAAAAUUUCACUGCUACAUGUUUGUAAUUUACAAAAUGCUAAUUUCAAUAAAACAAUGUUAUUAAUUUUA
Molecule: RNA transcript, 1146 nt
Organism: Cheilinus undulatus (humphead wrasse)
Lineage: Eukaryota; Metazoa; Chordata; Actinopteri; Labriformes; Labridae
Gene: c4h19orf53
Gene name: chromosome 4 C19orf53 homolog
Exons: 5
Source: RefSeq, a predicted model, not a curated record